AGUCACUGACAUUAGAUACCCGGGUAGUCCCAGCCGUAAACAAUGUGCGUUAGGUGUGUCGGUAACCACGCGUUACUGAUGCGCCGAAGAGAAAUCGUGAAACGCACCACCUGGGAAGUACGGUCGCAAGGCUGAAACUUAAAGGAAUUGGCGGGGAGCACCACAACAGGUGGAGCCUGCGGUUUAAUUGGACUCAACGCCGGGAAGCUCACCGGAUAGGACAGCAGAAUGAUUGCCGGGCUGAAGACCCUGCAUGACUAGCUG
RNAcentral lists this ribosomal RNA (264 nucleotides) under uncultured archaeon. RNAcentral describes it as "partial 16S ribosomal RNA". It matches the Rfam family "Archaeal small subunit ribosomal RNA", at positions 719 to 982 of the family's 1478-position model. The record is from RNAcentral.